Ruditapes philippinarum (Manila clam) is the source of this 2809-nucleotide long non-coding RNA. RefSeq lists it as uncharacterized. Lineage: Eukaryota; Metazoa; Mollusca; Bivalvia; Venerida; Veneridae. The transcript is spliced from 4 exons. The record is from RefSeq and is a predicted model, not a curated record.
AGAUCUUUUACGGGGCAGACAUGAGCAUUAUCAGCGACUACAUUGAAUGUUUCGACUCUGAGGAUCAAAAGUGUGGCAAUAGCGUCCUUCCGUCACCCUGGUCUGUAAAUUAUCACAAAACAUAUUACGGAAUUUCAGUAGGCGGUCACUGUGAAGGAAUACUUAAUAUAAGAAUGAGAAGAUCAACUGGUGAGGCAGGAAUAUCAAAUCUAUUUACUAACACUGCUUGCAAAAGGAUUAAGAUGUCUGAAAUAAAUGGAAGUGAUGCUAUAAGAGCCGGCUAUAUUACAGCGCUAAGUGUUGUGUUAAUGUGUUUUCUAACAAUUAAAGUUAAACGAUAAUGAUUGCCAAUUCUUUGAAACUGGAUUAUGAAAUGACGUCAGAAAAUUAACAUUUUGUAUUAAUAAAUCGGACAUUUAUAUCAAAAUAUUACUCAAACAGACUGACAUGUUUGAUAUUGACCUGUUUGAUAUUUACUUAAAUAGAUAUUGCUUAUAUAAAUCAAUUAUACCAGUUUGUUCACAUUUGACUGUAAUCAUCCAUGACGUUCACAUUUCUAGGGAGUAAAUAAAAUAAAUGAAAAACCAGUUAUUGUAAAAGAUUUUAUCAAAAACUUCUAUACGGAUCUCCACAGCCGGCGUUUCUGUGGUACCAAGUAAUAUAUAUCCAAGCAGUAAUUAUUAUUAUUAUGAUAAUUAUGUAAUAGUUAUAGUAUAUGAAACGAGUUAGUUACGAAGAUAUAACACUGGCUGGAGCAACAUCGAGGGAUGUUAGCUAAAACAAUGGCAAGGCCAUUAGGCACCUCCAACAUGGAUGCUACUACUUUAUAUACAAAUAUGUAACAUUAACAUGAUCAGUGACAUUAUGUUCAUUUUUUCACUGUCAAUUUAAGUUGAAUUAUUAAUAUAUAUUCCAAAAGAUUUUAAUGUUGAUUGGCCUAAUAAUAGAUAAUAAAAAUGUUUAUGGUACAAUAUGAAAAUUACCUUAAUUAUAAAAGACUGCGCCACUCUUUUUAAGAAUUGAUCCUUACUAAUACAUAUAAUGGAAGAUAUUUAUAGAAAUUUGGUCACAAUGAUUAUUUAAUUUUUUUUAUAGUCUUAGUCACAUUGAUUAUUAAAUUAUUUUUUCAUAGUUAAAUAUAAAAUUGAACAGUAAUGACAAAUGUUCAGCUAUUUUUAUUUUCACUUGUUCACUGACCAUUUACAGUUGGUAGGGAAUAAUGUCACUCCUCAAGAAACUGUAAAUUAGUAAUAAUGUACUUUUUUCCGUUUUGACUUUAUAUAUUUGCUUAAUAUAAUAUAUACAUGUAUAGAUCAAUAUGUAAAAUAAUAUUGUAGUAUUGUAGUUAUACAUCUCUGUCCUGUUUUGUUUAAUGUGUGUCAAAUGUCCUUGAUAUUGCUGAGCAAAUGGUUUGUUGUUUGUGCACAAUUUUUCAAAAUAUCUGUAAUUGCGUUUUCGGCCACUUCAAACUGAUAAAAAUUGCUUAUUUUGAUUUCCCUUGCCCACUUACUCCGAGUUCAGUCGUUCAGUUUUUAUAGCAUUGAUAUCUUAAUUUAAAAAGUGUAAAACAAGUAAUGUGGUAAUAAAAUCAACUGGCAUUUCUUUGGUUAUGCAUUUAAAAGAUAUGGCAAAUUCUUAUCAACUUUUAUUACUUUAUCUGAUGGAUCUCACAUCAGCCGAAGUUAGAUUGUUUAACAAGAACAUUCAAAACAAAUGCAAUAGAAAUUCCUAUCAUUUUUUUAAGUUUGCUCUUUAAGUGUCAAUAAUUAAGAAGUAAAGCAAGCUUAUUAGCAUUUGUGUCGUCCUAAACAUUCGUUAAAAACAUGCUGUCAUAUGCAAGGAGCCUUAACUAUUUCUAAAACGUAUUUUGGGAAGUUAAAUACCAUCUUAGUAAAUUUCCAAUAUCAAUGCAUGUGUCGAACUCGGUGCUUUAUAACGUAUUUGCAAUCUGUUUGGAGAAACAUGCACAUUCCUUCAGCCGGUCAAAAAUAAGGACAUUAUCAUGUACGUCUAGUAGAUAAGAAUUGAAAUUUGGCCACUUAAAAUGAAGUUUGGUCAAAUCAGAGGUCUGUUUAGCUUCUUGAUAUACGUCACGGUAAAUGCAACCGAUUGCCAGGACUGAUGGGUUGCUUUUGAAGGCUCAUGUUAUCUGUUUGGGCACAACUUGAUUCACUUUACAGAAGCUGAGAAAUACUGCCGUCAUCAUUAUGCACACCUCGUACAAGUUGAGACCAAAGCUGAGAACAUGUUCCUACGGGAUUUUCUUCGAGACUUUAAAUUGGCUGACUACUGGAUUGGCAUGACUAACGAAACCGUAGAAGGUGUUUGGAAAUGGUAUGGCAAUAAUGAGGAUGUGGAAUAUUUCGACUGGGGACCGACAGGCCUCUGAACGUAAAUAAUGAGGACUGUGCAGUAUUUGGCGACACCCUGGAUUAUCAAUGGGCUGACGUUAAAUGUGCGACAGACAAGCAGGCACUAUGUGAAAUCUCGUAUGUAUUAGUAUUUAAUAAUGUUUCAUAAAAAACUUGCAAUAAAUUUCCUUUUAUAAUAAAUUUGUAUUUGAAAGAGACAGCCUGCAACAAUGUUGCUGCUGUAAAAUUACGUCUGUAAAUACGAUCUGAUUAAGACUUGAGCACGAAAUAAAUGAGCCGCGCCAAAACCAAAAUAAUGCGUUUGCGACCAGCAUGGAUCCAGACCAGCCUGCACAUCCCUGUAUUCUGAUCAGGAUCCAUGCUGUUCGUUUACAAACCGUAUGACAAGUUGAGAAACUGAUAGCGAACAGCAUGGAUCCUGAUCAGACUGCGCAGAU